Molecule: non-coding RNA, 402 nt
Organism: Malaclemys terrapin pileata
Lineage: Eukaryota; Metazoa; Chordata; Testudines; Emydidae
Source: the annotation of a RefSeq genome assembly
AUGACACUAACACUGUCGAUGCUUGUAGAAAAACCAGAGCUGCGGAAGUUCCCGUGCCUGCCGUAUGGGGGCAGCAAUGACACAAGUGUCCUGUCACAAGUCCAGCUGCUGGAGUCCGGCAGAGAAAAAGCCCGGAGCCUCCCUCAGAUUGACCUUACCACCUCAGGGUUCAACAUAGACAGUGCCUGGAUGAGCUGGGUCCGCCAGGCUCCCGGGCAGGGGCUGGAGCGGGUAUCAGCAAUUAAUGGAGCAACUACGCAGUAUGGAAAUUCUGUGAAAAGGCGAUUCACCACCUAUACAGACAGGUCCAAGAAGCUGAUUUACCUACAAAGGACUGGCCUGAAGCCCGAGGACACCGCCCAGUAUCACUGUGCCAGACACAGUGAGGCGAAGCUGGUCUGA